AAUCAACGCUGGCGGCGCGCCUAACACAUGCAAGUCGAACGAGAAAGUGGAGCAAUCCAUGAGUACAGUGGCGUACGGGUGAGUAACACGUGGAUCAUCUACCUCUUAGUGGGGAAUAACUAGGGGAAACUCUAGCUAAUACCGCAUAAGCCUGAGAAGGGAAAGCAGCAAUGCGCUGAGAGAGGAGUCCGCGGCCGAUUAGCUAGUUGGUAGGGUAAAAGCCUACCAAGGCAUAGAUCGGUAGCCGGCCUGAGAGGGCACACGGCCACACUGGCACUGAAACACGGGCCAGACUCCUACGGGAGGCAGCAGUGGGGAAUCUUGCACAAUGGGGGAAACCCUGAUGCAGCGACGCCGCGUGAGCGAUGAAGCCCCUUCGGGGGUGUAAAGCUCUUUCGUCAGGGACGAUAAUGACGGGUACCUGGAGAAGCAGCUGCGGCUAACUACGUGCCAG
Molecule: ribosomal RNA, 454 nt
Filed under: uncultured bacterium
Lineage: Bacteria
Description: bacterial SSU rRNA
Rfam family: Bacterial small subunit ribosomal RNA
Source: RNAcentral